Molecule: ribosomal RNA, 2030 nt
Filed under: Patescibacteria group bacterium
Lineage: Bacteria
Description: partial 23S ribosomal RNA
Rfam family: Bacterial large subunit ribosomal RNA (bases 281-2028)
Source: RNAcentral
ACUCACGGUAUCAUAGACAAUGCGUGCGCAUUCCUUGUCUAUGAACCGAAGUAAAAAUAUGUCUCGUGCAGACAAUCAGCAGGAAAGACUUGCGCAGUCUGAAUUCGUUGGCUGGAUAGUUGGCUUUGUGGAUGGAGAAGGAUGCUUUUCCAUAAAUUUUCUUCGUCAACCGGAUCGGAAAGAAAAGACCCGGGUUCGAAGAGGAUACGCAACCGGCUACCAGGUCUUCUAUGAGUUUGCAGUAACUCAGGGAGUAAGUAGCAAGAAAGCAUUGGAGUCAAUGCGAGAUUUCUUCGGCGUAGGUAGUCUGUACCUCAAUACGAGAUACGACAAUCACAACGAACAUCUAUAUCGGUACGUUGUACGAAGAAAAGCCGACUUGCUUAACGUCAUCAUUCCGUUUUUUGAACGGCAUGAGUUACGAACAAAGAAAAAAGAAGACUUCAAGAAAUUUGUGAAGUGUAUGCGCGUAAUCGAGAAAGGAAGGCAUCUGGGAAUAUCCGGACUGACCUCCAUAGCUCGUACCGCUGGCACCAUGAAUCGAAAGAAGAACGGAGCAGUGCUAGCAAGAAUCCUCAGAGACCAUACGUCGAACACCUCUCGUAGGUGAAGAUAUGGUCCGGACUUCAUGGCGACAUGAAGAAGUGGGCAGAAAUGACCCACUCCGCGCCCAAAAACGCGGGUAACAGAUUCAAGCGCAAUUCCUUGUCGGGUAAAUUCCGACGUGCACGAAUGGUGUAAUGACUGGGGAACUGUCUCGAGGGCUCGCUCGGUGAAAAUGCAAUUCCGGUGAAGAUGCCGGAUACCUGUAGUUAGACGAAAAGACCCCAGGAGCUUUACUACAGCUUCGUAUUGGCCCUGCGGGAUUCAUGCGUAGCAUAGUGGGGAGACUUUGAAGCACCGGUUUCGGCUGGUGUGGAGUCGCCAGUGAAAUACCCAUCUUGAAUUUUGCAGUGUCUAACCGAGGUGGGAACCACCUCGGGACCGUGCGUGGCAGGUAGUUUUGGUGGGGCGCUAUCCUCCCAAAAAGUAACGGAGGAGUCUAUUAAGGUUCUCUAGGCGCGAAUGGAAACCGUGCCGAUAGUGUAAUGGCAUAAGAGAGCUUAACUGCGAGGGGUACAUCCCGAGCAGAUGCGAAAGCAGAGCAUAGUGAACCGAUGGUACGCCUUAGACGCGGCCAGAGAUUAACGGAUAUAAGUUACCCUGGGGAUAACAGGCUAGUUCCGCCCAAGCGUCCAUAGCGACGGCGGAGUUCGGCACCUCGAUGUCGGCUCACCUUAGCGCGGGGGUGAAGAAGCUCCCAAGCGUUUGGCUGUUCGCCAAUUAAAAAGGUACGCGAGCUGGGUUCAAACCGUUCAGCAUUUCACCGCAAGGUCGAACCUUGCGAUGGAGGAUUGAACGGUUUGAACCCACGAGGGAAUGUUACGUGCGUGGAGACGCAUGGUGCGAAAGACAUACUCACGGCGGUCGCGCGCAGGAAUGCGCGUGAAGAAAUCAACUAAUAUCGGUAGAACCCACACUCGUUGUGUACGAGCGGGCAAUACCGAGGGAAGUAAAGUUAAAAGAACACGCCCGUGUCGAUUACGAUACGUGCGCUCGUUCGGCGAAAUUAAGAAUAUGAGAUUACUCGCAUUCUUAAUUUGCCUUACUUCGCGCCCGUAGAGACUGAAUGUUGAUGCUCCAGAACGGAGUAAGUUACAGUCCGAUCCCCGCAGUAAUGCGGGCAAACUAGAUGCGUGAGACAGGUUGGUCUCCUAUCUACUACAGGCGUUGAUUCUUGAGGAGGGUUGUCCCUAGUACGAGAGGACCGGGAUGAACUGACCUCUGGUCUACCAGCUGUCGUGCCAACGGCACCGCUGGGUAGCUAUGUCGGGUUGCGAUAACCGCUGAAAGCAUAUAAGCGGGAAACGUGCUCCAAGAUUAGGAAUCGUUAUGAGGCCCCUCGGAGAUGACGAGGUUGAUAGGCUCUAGGUGGAAGCGCCGCAAGGCGUGGAGCCGUGGAGUACUAAUACGCCCAGUCUCUCGUGCGG